CCAGUACCGUGAGGGAAAGGUGAAAAGCACCCCGGAAGGGGAGUGAAAUAGAACCUGAAACCGUGUGCUUACAAGUAGUCAGAGCCCGUUAAUGGGUGAUGGCGUGCCUUUUGUAGAAUGAACCGGCGAGUUACGAUUUGAUGCAAGGUUAAGCAGUAAAUGUGGAGCCGUAGCGAAAGCGAGUCUGAAUAGGGCGUUUAGUAUUUGGUCGUAGACCCGAAACCAGGUGAUCUACCCUUGGUCAGGUUGAAGUUCAGGUAACACUGAAUGGAGGACCGAACCGACUUACGUUGAAAAGUGAGCGGAUGAACUGAGGGUAGCGGAGAAAUUCCAAUCGAACCUGGAGAUAGCUGGUUCUCUCCGAAAUAGCUUUAGGGCUAGCCUCAAGUGAUGAUUAUUGGAGGUAGAGCACUGUUUGGACGAGGGGCCCCUCUCGGGUUACCGAAUUCAGACAAACUCCGAAUGCCAAUUAAUUUAACUUGGGAGUCAGAACAUGGGUGAUAAGGUCCGUGUUCGAAAGGGAAACAGCCCAGACCACCAGCUAAGGUCCCAAAAUAUAUGUUAAGUGG
Molecule: ribosomal RNA, 569 nt
Filed under: Escherichia coli
Lineage: Bacteria; Pseudomonadati; Pseudomonadota; Gammaproteobacteria; Enterobacterales; Enterobacteriaceae
Description: bacterial LSU rRNA
Rfam family: Bacterial large subunit ribosomal RNA
Source: RNAcentral